AGAGUUGAUCAUGGCUCAGGACGAACGCUGGCGGCGUGCCUAACACAUGCAAGUCGAGCGAGGAGAUCCUUCGGGAUGAUCCUAGCGGCGGACGGGUGAGUAACACGUGGGCAACCUGCCUCAUAGAGAGGAAUAGCCUUCCGAAAGGGAGAUUAAUACCUCAUAACAUUGCAGUUUCGCAUGGAACAGCAAUUAAAGGAGUAAUCCGCUAUGAGAUGGGCCCGCGGCGCAUUAGCUAGUUGGUGAGGUAAUGGCUCACCAAGGCGACGAUGCGUAGCCGACCUGAGAGGGUGAUCGGCCACAUUGGGACUGAGACACGGCCCAGACUCCUACGGGAGGCAGCAGUGGGGAAUAUUGCACAAUGGGGGAAACCCUGAUGCAAGCAACGCCGCGUGAGUGAUGACGGCCUUCGGGUUGUAAAGCUCUGUCUUCAGGGACGAUAAUGACGGUACCUGAGGAGGAAGCCACGGCUAACUACGUGCCAGCAGCCGC
Molecule: ribosomal RNA, 492 nt
Filed under: uncultured bacterium
Lineage: Bacteria
Description: bacterial SSU rRNA
Rfam family: Bacterial small subunit ribosomal RNA
Source: RNAcentral